ACUGGGGAGGCCUCGCAGGCGCCUCGACAAACGCACUCGAAAAGUUCCGCAAGUAUUUUCCUGUACUACCCUCUAAAUCUGUAUAAAUCUUAUUGGUGACAGGAUAUUCGACUUUGAAAAGUGCUUUGCGGCAUCCGACCUAGCUACUUGUCGGGUGAUGCUACGCGAUCGGCUCUACGCUGUCGCCGUUGGUUGUGCAGCUGCGGCAGGGUUUUCUUGGCACUUGUCCCGUCUGGUCGGAGAGCAGCCUGCGCAAGCGGUCGCGUGCAGACGCGAGCAGCUCGGGACAAGUGGUGUACGACCGCAGCUCCACUACGACUGGCAAAGCGCGGGCCGUAGAGUCAUCCCGGACCUGGUGCCUUUUGCAGCUGCCGGGACAGUGCAGCAGAAGCAGUCGCAGCAGCAGCAGCAGCUUGAAAAUCUGGAGCAGUUUCUUCGUCGACGCUGGGCUUUCACGUGGAACGAAAGCAUCAACGCGCUACUGGAUGCCUUGCAACAGUUAGAUGCGGAACGACUCCAGCGAUAUCCACGUGAGUUGUGGCAGCGAUGGCGGCGACAGCAAUCUGUAUGAGCCCCGGGUACCGCGAGUUGCGGAUGGAUAUGCGACUUGCACGAGAAGCCGAAAGAUUGAUGCGUUUCUGGUGCGCUCCGAGGAGGUUGAAUGGAGGUUCGCGACGCGUUUGACACGGGUCUCGUGGCGCCGCGGAUCGUUCUGCAACAACCGGCCGCAUGCUCGCUUCGACGCCGUCUGGUACGGUUUCGCAGGCUUUGGUAUCGCAUUUCUCGGAAGCAGCGCAAGCGGCAUCGGAUGCGUGGAAAGAAAGUGAGACACGGGUUGGUUACAGAGCCGUCCCCGGAUUCCGGCAUGCGUUACUCGCGCUUCGUACGCACUGCAAAGCGUACGCGUUCACGUUAUCCAGUCGCGCAGCAUGCGCAUCGCGUCGGUUGCGUCGACUGAGGCGAACCCCGUGUCGAGCGCAUUCCCAGGUGAGUCGGGGUCCCUGGUACGGUUGCAGUCACGCGACGCCUGCGCCCUCGACGAUGCGUGCCCGGCGGUGCAUGCUCAGCUUAUCAAGCAGCCGCUAUGAAUACCGCCGCAGCCGCCGCCACGGAAAUGCACCAUGUGCGUCAUCUGGGUUGCACCCGGCACGAGGCUGACAUUCGAAUACUUUUUAAGGAAAGCCCCCGGUGCCGAGGUACACGCGUGCUGCCGCCUGGCAUGGACAAACCGUACCCGUUGCCAAAUAUGCAGAAUGCACCUUGCCAUCCUUACCAAGAUACAUUGAGAUCCUGCACGCGCUCAGGUCGAGGACGCAUGCGUGUCAUUCACUGCAAACAAGAUACUUGCAUCUUUCCAGAUGCUUCCGAAUGCGUAUAUGCUGCAUACGCUCAGGAGAAUGGCAAUACCGGGUCCUAUACAAACGCUGGGUCUUUACACGAGCUCCAUCGCAGAGACGCCCCGCAUGAAAUACAGACUAGAUCAACCUUGUCACUCGUUGGACGCCGAGCCUACCUACCGCACUACCCCUACAGAGAGCAUACGGCUUUGCCAGACUCCAACGGGCACCUGUGCGGCGACGACACCAGCAUGUCCAUGCGGCUGCACGCAUUCCAUAUGCAUGCGUGCGCCUCGUGACUGCAGCGUGAAAGGCCGCGCUUGGAGAACGCAUAUAAAAAGCGCUUUGGAACUGUUUGUGACGCUCUUUACGAACUGCGUAUGCGUCACUGAUGAUCGCUGUAGGCGCCGCGAGAUUUGUCGACUCGGGCAGAGCGUCUGGCUUCGCAAACGAGCGCCUUGAACCUGACGCCAUCGACGUAUAGGCAGCUCGUGGCGAAGAUUUCUGGCGCGAGGGUGCAUACCAUGCACGAUCCAGGCCGUUUUUCUGUUGCUUACUCGGUGCCAUGUUGCUUGCCUGUGUCUCGUUUUGGAUCAGGUUCACAGGCGCGAUCAUGCGCUGGUCACUGUGGACGCGCGUGGUCGUCCACCGUGCCUUGUUGAGCGUGCUUCGCAACGGUGCGUGUCCAUGAGGCAGCCCUGCCGCUGCCCGAGUGUUGAAUAAAUACCUCCAGAGCAUUACUCCAUGGGUCCAGGUCGGGGCAAGCGGGCGGCAAGCAGCAGGCGCCGCAGCAACGUGCGCUCUGUCGACCGGGCCGUAGACUGCCCUGCUGCGCAUGCGCCCGUCUCAUCUGGGCUAGCGUGGGAGCGCUCUGUUGACAAGGCAUCGUCGCUGCUGUGGCCCCUGAUCGGCCAGAAGCGUGUGCGAAACCUGGAACUAGCCGCACACAUCGUGCUGGGCGCCACCUGUUGUUCUCGUUCUUGCUGCUGCUGCUGCUGCUGCUCCGCUGCUGUGCCGGGUGCGGCAGCCUCGAGGUCCGCCAAGCCCGACCGAGUCACAUCUGUCAUUUGAAUGCAGUAUGCGGAACGACUCCGACGAAUGGACAAGGCGUCGUCGUAGCCUUCGUCAAUUUCAUCGUCGGCUUCGUCUUCAGGAUCACUAUAGUGGCUGCUUGCGCCGAUUUCGGCUCGCCUUGGGGCAUCAGGACCCGAAAUAACCAGAUCACCGGCACCCUGCACCACUGGAUCUCCAUACGAGGAUCCACUCGGCGGGAUUGCAGAGGCUGCCAACGAAUCGUAACUCGUCGAGGCCGAUGACGGUAGCGGAGCUGUUCGACCUGCGAUAGCCGACGACGACCCGUUUCCCGUGUCAUCGGUUCCGUCGAGCGACAUCCGCUGAUUGUCCAACAACGAUACGCCGGGCUGCGAAUGCAGCGACGCGGUCGAAUCCCUGCGAUCUUGCGCUGCUGUGGGCAGCAACGAAGGGCCGUCGGUGCCGUCGGCCGAUGCCGCCCGCGCAGCACUGCCCGGGGCAUCCGUCGACUUUUUAGGCCUUCGCGGUACGGUUUCGCUGGUGUCUUUGCGACGACCGCGCAGCGCUAGCUUUUUCAGGUCAACCUCCCGAAUGGAGAUGUAGCCCGCGCCGCGCAGCCGCGAUAACGGCAUUCGCAUACCCAGCACCGCGCGACUACUCAACGUGUCGGGAGCGCCGUGCGCACCGUAGCUGCUCGAGAGCAGCAUCGAGGUCGUCGCCGAGCGCGCUAGGUCGAUUGAGCGACGCGGAAGGGUUAUGUCACUGGUUGCGAUUGGCGCUGGGGCACCGCCGCCUGCUCUGGUGGCGACCGCCUCCGCAGGUCGAGCUGCAGACGCUUCGCAGCUCCGGGAGGUGCCAUACCCGGCCACAGUACCGCUGCUGGCGGACAGGAAGCGCUCGGCAUGUGCACGUGUGACGGGCUGUUUGCUCUGCAUAUCAUAGUAAACAUCGGAU
RNA transcript from Cyanidioschyzon merolae strain 10D, 3323 nucleotides. RefSeq lists it as hypothetical. The record is from RefSeq and is a predicted model, not a curated record. Lineage: Eukaryota; Rhodophyta; Bangiophyceae; Cyanidiales; Cyanidiaceae. The transcript has a single exon.